Molecule: long non-coding RNA, 382 nt
Organism: Lineus longissimus
Lineage: Eukaryota; Metazoa; Nemertea; Pilidiophora; Heteronemertea; Lineidae
Exons: 3
Source: RefSeq, a predicted model, not a curated record
CAGGCACACAUCCACAGAGCACUCUUCAAAUCAUCUACACAGUGGUUAUCCAACUAGGAUUAUAAAGGCACACAUUGACAUUGACCACUGUUGCAGUCAACGACACAGUCGCUAUCCAAGUAGCAUUAUAGAGCUGUCAUGCAACGCAACAACUGUGCUAUCUGCCAUCGCACAUCAACGAAGAAGUGCAGCCGCCCACAUUCCACCUCACGUCUGUCCGACCAGCUGCAAUCCUCGAGGACGCCCCACUGUACCACGAUUUCACUUCGAUGUUUGACAAGAAGGAGCAGUGCGCGAGAUAGGCUAAUGAGCAGACUUCCCUCGCUUGAGUUUCGGAAGAAUGUUCCAUAUCGCGCUAAGCUGACCACUGCUGACCAUGACA